CAGGAGAAGCUAUAGUCAGAGUGAAGUAGAUUGGCAGACCAGACCAAGUAGAGCACUGUGCAUCCACACAUAGGGACAGCAGCAAGCAAGAAAGGUGCAGAGACACUAGUUUCUGAGUUAAGAAGUGGACUCAGUGGCAAAUUUCGCAGGGCCCUGAAAUUAGGAAUUAGUAUGAUGUCAUUAGAAAUCUUUGUGAGAGCAAUUAGGGGUAUGUCUACACUAGAAAAAAUCGUAAGCAUUUUUCUGCACUGGCAUAGUUCUACUGGUGCUUUCAAUGGUAGAAAACUGUAAUACAGACAGGUCAUGGACAUUUUUACCACUGUGGCCAGAGCAAAGUUAAAUGAUCCAGUGAUACAAACACAUGCACUGUAUCUAACCUACCCAUCCCAAUGCUGGAUCAGCAGUUGGGUUGUGCCAGUGCAGAAGAAUAGUGAGUGGAUAUAGAUGGCAUAAGUUCAAAGGUAAAGUGGUGUACACUGGGAAGGGAGGGAGGGCACAAGGCCUAUUUUUUUGUUAGGAGGUGGGAAACUAGAGUGUGUGUACUUAAAGGGAAAGGAACCAGAAGAGAACGAGAGGCUGAGGGGAGUGAGGUUAACAGUUGGGAAGAUAGGAGGUUUGGGGGUUAGAGGUGCAAAGCAAGUGAAUAACCUCAGAGUCUAGGAAAAGGUGCUGGGAAGAGAACGGAGGGAAGGAAGUCUCAAUGGAACUAAUCUAUCUUUGCAAAGGGUCUUGCUGACCCUUUGCAGAGAGGAAGGGAGCUGCAGGAAGGGAGAGGGUCUUAGGAGGGAGGCCAACAAGUGAUGGCGGUUGCAAGCCGGAGAUGUAACAUGUGGAAGAAGUAGUGGUGAUAGGCAAUGAAGAUGGCAGAGCUGAAUGAGGAGAGUAUAUAUAUUUAUAGUGAAGAAAAGCCAUUUGGACUCAGCAUUUCCUCCAGAGCAGCUCACAAGGUGGUUUUUGGGAGCAGUCAAUACCUUUUGAUUGGACUCAUAGAUUGUACAGUGCGUUUAUGUUUCCUGAGCAGAAGACUGGUACAACGGAGGGCUAGUCAACAGUGGGUGUUUUUCACAGAUGUAGCUGCAUCAGUGCAAAUUCCUACUGCACCUGUGCAGCUCACCCACAUCCAAGCUGUUCUUCACAUAAGAGUUACAGUAAGCUGUACCAUGCAAUUCACAUCUUAGACCAAUGCAGCACAUCUACAGUAGAGAUUUAUAUCGGGGUACACUAGGUAGCUAUACUGAUGCAAAAACACAACAAGGUAGACAGUCUCUUGCCCAGCUCUGUUUUGCCAUGAGAAAUUUUGAGAUUUUGAAAAAAAAUUAUUGUCCAAAAUAGGGAUGAAAAGUCAGAAUCUCAAAAUUUUGGCAAACUGAAAAUCCAAAAAAUAUUAGAUCAGGUCAAAAUAUUUCAUUUCAAUAAUUUCAAUUAGGGUGGGGUUUUUUUUUUUACUUCAACCCCCCCCCCCCCCCCCCCCNNNNNNNNNNUACUGAUGCAAAAACACAACAAGGUAGACAGUCUCUUGCCCAGCUCUGUUUUGCCAUGAGAAAUUUUGAGAUUUUGAAAAAAAAAUUAUUGUCCAAAAUAGGGAUGAAAAGUCAGAAUCUCAAAAUUUUGGCAAACUGA
Chrysemys picta bellii (western painted turtle) is the source of this 1620-nucleotide long non-coding RNA. The record is from Ensembl. Lineage: Eukaryota; Metazoa; Chordata; Testudines; Emydidae.